This 451-nucleotide ribosomal RNA is filed under the name uncultured Rhodocyclaceae bacterium. RNAcentral describes it as "bacterial SSU rRNA". It matches the Rfam family "Bacterial small subunit ribosomal RNA", at positions 919 to 1382 of the family's 1533-position model. The record is from RNAcentral. Lineage: Bacteria; Pseudomonadati; Pseudomonadota; Betaproteobacteria; Rhodocyclales; Rhodocyclaceae.
ACCCGCACAAGCGGUGGAUUAUGUGGAUUAAUUCGAUGCAACGCGAAAACCUUACCUACCCUUGACAUGUCCUGAAGCCUGGAGAGAUCCGGGCGUGCCCGAAAGGGAACGGGAACACAGGUGCUGCAUGGCUGUCGUCAGCUCGUGUCGUGAGAUGUUCGGUUAAGUCCGCUAACGAGCGCAACCCUCGCUGUAUGUUACAUGUGUCAUACAGGACCGCCGGUAUCAAGCCGGAGGAAGGUGGGGAUGACGUCAAGUCCGCAUGGCCUUUAUGUCCGGGGCUACACACACGCUACAAUGGUCGGUACAAUGGGUUGCUAAGCCGCGAGGUGGAGCCAAUCCCCCAAAGCCGGCCUCAGUUCAGAUUGCAGGCUGCAACUCGCCUGCAUGAAGCUGGAGUUGCUAGUAAACGCGCGUCAGCUAUAGUGCGUUGAAUACGUUCUCGGGCCUU